Molecule: ribosomal RNA, 497 nt
Filed under: uncultured bacterium
Lineage: Bacteria
Description: partial 16S ribosomal RNA
Rfam family: Bacterial small subunit ribosomal RNA
Source: RNAcentral
GAUGAACGCUGGCGGCGUGCCUAAUACAUGCAAGUCGAGCGAACAGACGAGGAGCUUGCUUCUCUGAUGUUAGCGGCGGACGGGUGAGUAACACGUGGAUAACCUACCUAUAAGACUGGGAUAACUUCGGGAAACCGGAGCUAAUACCGGAUAAUAUAUUGAACCGCAUGGUUCAAUAGUGAAAGACGGUCUUGCUGUCACUUAUAGAUGGAUCCGCGCCGCAUUAGCUAGUUGGUAAGGUAACGGCUUACCAAGGCAACGAUGCGUAGCCGACCUGAGAGGGUGAUCGGCCACACUGGAACUGAGACACGGUCCAGACUCCUACGGGAGGCAGCAGUAGGGAAUCUUCCGCAAUGGGCGAAAGCCUGACGGAGCAACGCCGCGUGAGUGAUGAAGGUCUUCGGAUCGUAAAACUCUGUUAUUAGGGAAGAACAAAUGUGUAAGUAACUAUGCACGUCUUGACGGUACCUAAUCAGAAAGCCACGGCUAACUACGUG